AAGAGAGACUAUGGAAUGGAGAGUCAAUUAUAACAAAUAGUGGAUAUCGACACUGUCUGACACAAUUUGAGCUUGCUACAGCAACAAAGUCUAACCUAUUCCGGUGCUCUCUUCUAUGAGACAAGCCAUUAUAUAGACUUAGACAGU
Molecule: non-coding RNA, 147 nt
Organism: Myotis lucifugus (little brown bat)
Lineage: Eukaryota; Metazoa; Chordata; Mammalia; Chiroptera; Vespertilionidae
Source: Rfam